This 460-nucleotide ribosomal RNA is filed under the name uncultured bacterium. Its description in RNAcentral is "partial 16S ribosomal RNA". It matches the Rfam family "Bacterial small subunit ribosomal RNA", at positions 338 to 795 of the family's 1533-position model. The record is from RNAcentral.
CCUACGGGUGGCAGCAGUGAGGAAUAUUGGUCAAUGGACGAGAGUCUGAACCAGCCAAGUAGCGUGAAGGAUGACUGCCCUAUGGGUUGUAAACUUCUUUUAUAUGGGAAUAAAAUGUUCCACGUGUGGGAUUUUGUAUGUACCAUAUGAAUAAGGAUCGGCUAACUCCGUGCCAGCAGCCGCGGUAAUACGGAGGAUCCGAGCGUUAUCCGGAUUUAUUGGGUUUAAAGGGAGCGUAGGUGGAUUGUUAAGUCAGUUGUGAAAGUUUGCGGCUCAACCGUAAAAUUGCAGUUGAAACUGGCAGUCUUGAGUACAGUAGAGGUGGGCGGAAUUCGUGGUGUAGCGGUGAAAUGCUUAGAUAUCACGAAGAACUCCGAUUGCGAAGGCAGUUCACUGGACUGCAACUGACACUGAGGCUCGAAAGUGUGGGUAUCAAACAGGAUUGGAUACCCUUGUAGUC